CUCCGGUUGAUCCUGCCGGACCCGACUGCUAUCAGAGUGGGACUAAGCCAUGCGAGUCAACAUAGCAAUAUGUGGCAUACGGCUCAGUAACACGUAGUCAACAUGCCCAGGGGACGUGGAUAACCUCGGGAAACUGAGGAUAAACCGCGAUAGGUCAUCACUUCUGGAAUGGGUAAUGACUUAAAUCUAUAUGGCCCCUGGAUUGGACUGCGGCCGAUCAGGCUGUUGGUGAGGUAAUGGCCCACCAAACCUGUAACCGGUACGGGCUCUGAGAGGAGGAGCCCGGAGAUGGGCACUGAGACAAGGGCCCAGGCCCUAUGGGGCGCAGCAGGCGCGAAACCUCUGCAAUAGGCGAAAGCUUGACAGGGUUACUCUGAGUGAUUUCCGUUAAGGAGAUCUUUUGGCACCUCUAAAGAUGGUGCAGAAUAAGGGGUGGGCAAGUCUGGUGUCAGCCGCCGCGGUAAUACCAGCACCCCGAGUGGUCGGGACGUUUAUUGGGCCUAAAGCAUCCGUAGCCGGUUCUACAAGUCUUCCGUUAAAUCCACCUGCUUAACAGAUGGGCUGCGGAAGAUACUAUAGAGCUAGGAGGCGGGAGAGGCAAGCGGUACUCGAUGGGUAGGGGUAAAAUCCGUUGAUCCAUUGAAGACCACCAGUGGCGAAGGCGGCUUGCCAGAACGCGCUCGACGGUGAGGGAUGAAAGCUGGGGGAGCAAGCCGGAUUAGAUACCCGGGUAGUCCCAGCUGUGAACGAUGCAGACUCGGUGAUGAGUUGGCUUAUUGCUAACUCAGUGCCGCAGGGAAGCCGUUAAGUUUGCCGCCUGGGGAGUACGGUCGCAAGACUGAAACUUAAAGGAAUGGCGGGGGAGCA
Molecule: ribosomal RNA, 867 nt
Filed under: uncultured archaeon
Lineage: Archaea
Description: bacterial SSU rRNA
Rfam family: Archaeal small subunit ribosomal RNA
Source: RNAcentral